UGGUACCCACAGAAGAAGUCCCGGCUAACUUCGUGCCAGCAGCCGCGGUAAUACGAAGGGGGCUAGCGUUACUCGGAAUUAUUGGGCGUAAAGCGUGCGUAGGCUGCUUAGUAAGUCAAAAGUGAAAGCCUUGGGCUCAACCUAAGAAUUGCUUUUGAAACUACCAAGCUUGAGUACUGUAGGGGAUAGCGGAAUUCCUAGUGUAGGGGUGAAAUUCGUAGAUAUUAGGAGGAACACCGGAGGCGAAAGCGGUUAUCUGGACAGUUACUGACGCUGUUGCACGAAAGCGUGGGGAGCAAACAGGAUUAGAUACCCUGGUAGUCCACGCUGUAAACGAUGAGUGCU
This 345-nucleotide ribosomal RNA is filed under the name Rickettsiales bacterium DK03. Its description in RNAcentral is "bacterial SSU rRNA". It matches the Rfam family "Bacterial small subunit ribosomal RNA", at positions 473 to 817 of the family's 1533-position model. Lineage: Bacteria; Pseudomonadati; Pseudomonadota; Alphaproteobacteria; Rickettsiales. The record is from RNAcentral.